RNAcentral lists this ribosomal RNA (253 nucleotides) under uncultured bacterium. Its description in RNAcentral is "partial 16S ribosomal RNA". It matches the Rfam family "Bacterial small subunit ribosomal RNA", at positions 524 to 776 of the family's 1533-position model. The record is from RNAcentral.
UACGUAGGGUGCGAGCGUUAAUCGGAAUUACUGGGCGUAAAGCGUGCGCAGGCGGUAAUGUAAGACAGAUGUGAAAUCCCCGGGCUUAACCUGGGACCUGCAUUUGUGACUGCAUUGCUGGAGUGCGGCAGAGGGGGAUGGAAUUCCGCGUGUAGCAGUGAAAUGCGUAGAUAUACGGAGGAACACCGAUGGCGAAGGCAAUCCCCUGGGCCUGCACUGAUGCUCAUGCACGAAAGCGUGGGGAGCAAACAGG